Molecule: ribosomal RNA, 450 nt
Filed under: uncultured Glomeromycotina
Lineage: Eukaryota; Fungi; Glomeromycota
Description: SSU rRNA
Rfam family: Eukaryotic small subunit ribosomal RNA
Source: RNAcentral
AGCAGCCGCGGUAAUUCCAGCUCCAAUAGCGUAUAUUAAAGUUGUUGCAGUUAAAAAGCUCGUAGUUGAAUUUCGGGAUUUAUCCGUCGGUCGGGCUUUUGGGUUUGUACUGGCGUGAUGGAUUCCUACCUUCUGAAUAACCGGCAUGUCAUUAAUUUGGUGCGCCGGGGAAGCAGGACUGUUACCUUGAAAAAAUUAGAGUGCUUAAAGCAGGCUUAUGCCUGAAUACAUUAGCAUGGAAUAAUGAAAUAGGACGGCAUGGUUCUAUUUUGUUGGUUUCUAGGAUCACCGUAAUGAUUAAUAGGGAUAGUUGGGGGCAUUAGUAUUCAAUUGUCAGAGGUGAAAUUCUUGGAUUUAUUGAAGACUAACUUCUGCGAAAGCAUUUGCCAAGGAUGUUUUCAUUAAUCAAGAACGAAAGUUAGGGGAUCGAAGACGAUCAGAUACCGUCGU